UAAAUACAUGCAAAAAGAGAGAGAGUAAAGAAGAAUUUUUCCAUGUCCUAGGGAUCGCCUUGCUCAGCUCAGGGAGGAAACCCCGCCUGAAAAGGCUGAAGCUUAAACUGUUACUCUUCACUGGGUGCAGAGUCUGAUCACAUCUUCUGUCACUCAGGGCUUGAGGGGGCGGAGACUUAAACAUUAUCCAAUCAGGGACGUUGGGCUGGGAACCGUCCAAUCAGGAACGUAGCUGGAGCAAAGAGGACGGCUUUCGGAUUUGGCGCGGCCUUAGUUUGUUGCUGCAGCCGCAGCUUCAGGUUAUGUCUUCUCUGCUCUGUGUCCUCUGCUCCUAGAGGCCCGGCCUCGCGGCCUGUGACGUUUAGGUAUUGGGAGAGCCACAGCUAGGACGCCGGGACCCCCUGGAAGCCUAGAAAUGGGACCGUUGCAAUUUAGAGACGUGGCCGUAGAAUUCUCCCUGGAGGAGUGGCAUUGCUUGGACGCUGCACAGCAGAAUCUGUAUAGGGAUGUGAUGUUGGAGAACUACGGAAACCUGGUCUUCCUGGGUAUUCUUGUCUCUGAGCCAGACCUGAUCACCUGUCUGGAGAAAGGAAAAAACCUUUGACUGUGAAGAGACAUGAGAUGAUUGCCACACCCCUAGAUUUUUAUAUUAUCUGCUCCUGAAACAAACAAAUCUUUUUUUGUUUUGAGACGAAGAAUUGCUUGAACAUGGGAGGCAGAGGUUGCAAUGAGCCAAGAACACACCACUACACUCCAGCCUGGGCAACAGUGCAAGACUCAGCAGUGAGCUGAGAUCGCACCACUGCACUCCAGCCUGGCGCCUGGCAAAGGAGUGAGACUCUGUCUCAAAACAAAACAAUCAAGAUGGUAGGGUUGGGUGACGGGCUUGUCCGGGAAGCUCCGAUGCCCGAUUAGGGACAAUGGGGAACGCAGGCGGGGAGUGGGAGAUAUCAACCCAGGCAGUCAGGACUUCAGACUUUCGGGAUCCAGGCUUGCAUAUGGAGACCUGACAGUAGUCCUCUAAAAUAAAAUAUGAACCACAUGUGAAUUUUGAAUUUUCUAGUAGUCAAACUUUAAAAAGAAAUGAGUGGUCGGGUGUGGUGGCUCACGCAGUCAGGAGUUUGAGACCAGCCUGGCUAACAUGGUGAAACCUCAUCUCUACUAAAAAUACAAAAAUUAGCUGGACGUGGUGGUGAGCGCCUGUAAUCCCAACUACUCAGGGGGCUGAGGCAGAGGAAUCGCUUAAACCUGGGAGGUAGAGGUUGCAAUGAGCCAAGAACACACCACUAUACUCUAGCCUGGGCAACAAUGCAAGACUGUCUCAAAAAAAUAAAGAUUGUAAACCAUGUAUGUUAAUCUAGAGUGGUCAAAAUCGACAAAUUGGGUAGAUUUAUUUAUACAGUUUUAUUAGAAUUAGCUUUGUAUAUAUAAUACACUAAUACAAAAGUAAAAGUUGAUUUUCUUUGGAACAAAAAUUUUAUGUAUUAUAAAAAAAUACAAAAAUUAGCCAGGCAUAAUUGUUCAUGCCUGUAGUCCCAAGCUACUUGGGAGGCUGAGGCUGGAGAAUAGCUUGAUCCCAGGAGGCCAAGGUUGCAGUGAGCCAAGAUCACGCCAAUGCAUUCUAACCUGGGUGACAAAGCAAGACUCCAUCUCAAAAAAAAGAAAAAAGGGUUAUGACACCUAGCUAGUUCUUAUUGUUUGUUUUUUAUUUUUUUUAGUUUAUAUUUUAGGAACAGGGUUUUGCCAUGUUGUCCAGUCUGGUCUCAAACUCCUGAGUUAAAGUGUUCAGCUCCCCUUGUCCU
Long non-coding RNA from Callithrix jacchus (white-tufted-ear marmoset), 1802 nucleotides. RefSeq lists it as uncharacterized. The record is from RefSeq and is a predicted model, not a curated record. Lineage: Eukaryota; Metazoa; Chordata; Mammalia; Primates; Cebidae.